GGCUAGCGCGGGGGCAGCGGGGUGGAUAAGGCGUGGUGGGCGAGGGUUGUCGCGAGGUAUUUGGGGGAAAGAGGGUGUAGGCGGCGUUGCAAGGCCGGUGUGAAAACUCGAGGCUCAACCUCGAGACGCCGGUGGAAACUGCAAAGCUAGAGUCCGGAAGAGGAGAGUGGAAUUCCUGGUGUAGCGGUGAAAUGCGCAGAUAUCAGGAAGAACACCCGUGGCGAAGGCGGCUCUCUGGGACGGUACUGACGCUGAGACGCGAAAGCGUGGGGAGCGAACAGGAUUAGAUACCGUGUAGUC
This 300-nucleotide ribosomal RNA is filed under the name uncultured Bacillus sp. RNAcentral describes it as "bacterial SSU rRNA". The stretch from base 58 to 300 matches the Rfam family "Bacterial small subunit ribosomal RNA", at positions 552 to 795 of the family's 1533-position model. Lineage: Bacteria; Bacillati; Bacillota; Bacilli; Caryophanales; Bacillaceae. The record is from RNAcentral.